AGUUUGAUCCUGGCUCAGGAUGAACGCUAGCGGGAGGCUUAACACAUGCAAGUCGAGGGGCAGCACGAUGUAGCAAUACGUUGGUGGCGACCGGCGCACGGGUGAGUAACACGUAUGCAACCUACCCUGUACAGGGGGAUAACCCGGAGAAAUUCGGACUAAUAUCCCAUAAAGAUAUUUGAGGGCAUCCUUGGAUAUUUAAAGCUCAGGCGGUACGGGAUGGGCAUGCGGAACAUUAGCUAGUUGGCAGGGUAACGGCCUACCAAGGCAACGAUGUUUAGGGGACCUGAGAGGGUGAUCCCCCACACUGGUACUGAGACACGGACCAGACUCCUACGGGAGGCAGCAGUGAGGAAUAUUGGUCAAUGGGCGCAAGCCUGAACCAGCCAUCCCGCGUGCAGGAAGACGGCCCUAUGGGUUGUAAACUGCUUUUCCAGGGGGAGAAUUUUUCUGUCGUGACAGGAAUUGACGGUACCCUGGGAAUAAGCAUCGGCUAGCUCCGUGCCAGCAGCCGCGGUAAUACGGAGGAUGCGAGCGUUAUCCGGAUUUAUUGGGUUUAAAGGGUGCGUAGGCGGAUUGAUAAGUCAGUGGUGAAAACCUGCAGCUUAACUGUAGACUUGCCGUUGAUACUGUCAGUCUUGAGUGUGGUCAAGGUAGGCGGAAUGUGUAAUGUAGCGGUGAAAUGCUUAGAUAUUACACAGAACACCGAUUGCGAAGGCAGCUUACUGGGCCAUUACUGACGCUGAUGCACGANAGCGUGGGGAUCGAACAGGAUUAGAUACCCUGGUAGUCCACGCCGUANACGAUGAUCACUCGCUGUUAGCGAUACACAGUUAGCGGCUAAGCAAAAGCAUUAAGUGAUCCACCUGGGGAGUACGGCCGCAAGGCUGAAACUCAAAGGAAUUGACGGGGGCCCGCACAAGCGGANGAACAUGUGGUUUAAUUCGAUGAUACGCGAGGAACCUUACCUGGGCUUAAAUGUAGAGUGCAUUCAGCUGAAAGGCUGAUUUCCUUCGGGACUUUCUGCAAGGNGCUGCAUGGUUGUCGUCAGCUCGUGCC
This 1059-nucleotide ribosomal RNA is filed under the name uncultured bacterium. Its description in RNAcentral is "bacterial SSU rRNA". It matches the Rfam family "Bacterial small subunit ribosomal RNA", at positions 10 to 1066 of the family's 1533-position model. The record is from RNAcentral.